Long non-coding RNA from Salvelinus fontinalis (brook trout), 3697 nucleotides. RefSeq lists it as uncharacterized. NCBI's taxonomy places the organism in Eukaryota, Metazoa, Chordata, Actinopteri, Salmoniformes, Salmonidae. The transcript has 6 exons. The record is from RefSeq and is a predicted model, not a curated record.
UCACAACUCCGCCCAUAAAUUCAGUUUCUGCGUUCAAAUUUCCUCUUCUCGACACCAUUGUUGGAUCAACAAAAUCCUAAUUUGUUCCACGCAAAGCUUUCCUGAAAUUUGAGACCCCACUUACUAGUUUAUCAGAGGCAAAGCUGUAUGAUGGGUCUGGAACUGAAGUUGAUGGGGAUGUGUUUGAAGAGGUGGUGAAACAGCCAGAUCUUGGUGUUUUCAAUCUCACACUGAACAAUGAUGCUAAAGCUAAUAGCGAGCAUACUGAAGAAGAAUCCUGGUGGAGAGGUUGUCAUCAAGUCAUACUGCAAAACUAACAGCCUGACUGACUACACCAGACGAAAGAUGAUCAACAUUCUUGUUUUGGAGAUGACAGACUCGCGGACAUUACCAUCGCGCAGUGUGAGAGAAACGUUUGCACAAGGCAUCCCAUACCUGAAGGAUCCCUACACCGCAAAUUAAUAUGAACAUUAUUACGACCCUAAUAGUGGAGAAGUGUACCUCUUAUAGAAUCUCAACCGUUCAGAGGAAUUUGGCUUCAUCUGAGAAACGGCCCACUCAACUAUAGUAUGGCGGGCCAACUGCUGAGAGGGAAUCCAGUCCAUCCACUUUGGCUACCCUGAGUGAAGACCGGUGCAGAGAGGCCAUUUCUCUUAUGAAGCAUUCUUCUGAUGAAGAAACAGUCAAACAGAAGAUGAAAAUGACCUUUAAGUACAGGAAGAAGAUGACCCACGACCCGAGUAAAUGCUCCACCAUCCUCACCAAAUUUCCACGCUUUAUGGAUGUGAAGGGCUUGAUUGAACAGGAUUUUGUGCUGCUGUUUUUUGAGGGAACAUCAGCCAAGUUUUUGGAGAGGUGGCUAACUACAAUCAAGCACAAAUACUGAUGGUUAGAUGAUCAUAAUUUGUCAUUUACACUACCGUUCAAAAGUUUGGGGUCACUUAGAAAUGUCCUUGUUUUUGAAAGAAAAGCACUUUUUUUGUCAAUUUAAAAUAACAUCAAAUUGAUCGGAAAUACAGUGGAGACAUUGUUAAUGUUGUAAAUUACUAUUGUUUUAUUUAUGUAUUUAUUUUCCCCUUUAUUUAACUAGGUAGGCAAGUUGAGAAUAAGUUCUCAUUUACAAUUGCGACCUGGCCAAGAUAAAGCAAAGCAGUUCGACACAUACAACAACACAGAGUUACACAUGGAGUAAAACAAACAUACAGUCAAUAAUACAGUAGAAAAAUAAGUCUAUAUACAAUGUGAGCAAAUGAGGUGAGAUAAGGGAAAAAAAGGCCAUGGUGGCGAAGUAAAUACAAUAUAGCAAGUAAAACACUGGAAUUGUAGAUGUGCAGUGGAAGAAUGUGCAAAGUAGAGAUAGAAAUAAUGGGGUGCAAAGGAGCAAAAUAAUUAAAUACAGUAGGGGGAGAGGUAGUUGUUUGGGCUAAAUUAUAGAUGGGCUAUGUACAGGUGCAGUAAUCUGUGAGCUGCUCUGACAGCUGGUGCUUAAAGCUAGUGAGGGAGAUAAGUGUUUCCAGUUUCAGAGAUUUUUGUAGUUCAUUCCAGUCAUUGGCAGCAGAGAACUGGAAGGAGAGGCGGCCAAAGGAAGAAUUGGUUUUGGGGGUGACCAGAAAGAUAUACCUGCUGAAGCGCGUGCUACAGGUGGGUGCUGCUAUGGUGACCAGCGAGCUGAGAUAAGGGGGGACUUUACCUAGCAGGGUCUUGUAGAUGACCUGGAGCCAGUGGGUUUGGCGACGAGUAUGAAGCGAGGGCCAACUAACGAGAGCGUACAGGUCGCAGUGGUGGGUAGUAUAUGGGGCUUUGGUGACAAAACGGAUGGCACUGUGAUAGACUGCAUCCAAUUUAUUGAGUAGGGUAUUGGAGGCUAUUUUGUAAAUGACAUCACCGAAGUCGAGGAUCGGUAGGAUGGUCAGUUUUACAAGGGUAUGUUUUGCAGCAUGAGUGAAGGAUGCUUUGUUGCGAAAUAGGAAGCCAAUUCUAGAUUUAACUUUGGAUUGGAGAUGUUUGAUGUGAGUCUGGAAGGAGAGUUUACAGUCUAACCAGACACCUAGGUAUUUGUAGUUGUCCACAUAUUCUAAGUCAGAACCGUCCAGAGUAGUGAUGUUGGACGGGCGGGCAGGUGCAGGCAGCGAUCGGUUGAAGAGCAUGCAUUUAGUUUUACUUGUAUUUAAGAGCAAUUGGAGGCCACAGAAGGAGAGUUGUAUGGCAUUGAAGCUCGUCUGGAGGGUUAACAGUGUCCAAAGAAGGGCCAGAAGUAUACAGAAUGGUGUCGUCUGCGUAGAGGUGGAUCAGAGACUCACCAGCAGCAAGAGCGACAUCAUUGAUGUAUACUGAGAAGACAGUCGUUCCAAGAAUUGAACCCUGUGGCACCCCCAUAGAAACUGCCAGCGGCCCGGACAACAGGCCCUCCGAUUUGACACACUGAACUCUAUCAGAGAAGUAGUUGGUGAACCAAGCGAGGCAGUCAUUUGAGAAACCAAGGCUAUCGAGUCUGCCGAUGAGGAUGUGGUGAUUGACAGAGUCGAAAGGCUUGGCCAGGUCAAUGAAUACGGCUGCACAGUAUUGUUUCUUAUCGAUGGCGGUUAGUAUAUCGUUUAGGACCUUGAGUGUGGCUGAGGUGCACCCAUGACCAGUUCUGAAACCAGAUUGCAUUGCGGAGAAGGUAUGGUGGGAUUCGAAAUGGUCGGUGAUCUGUUUGUUGUCUUUGCUUUCGAAGACCUUAGAAAGGCAGGGUAGGAUAGAUAUAGGUCUGUAGCAGUUUGGGUCAAGAGUGUCCCGCCCUUUGAAGAAGGGGAUGACCGCAGCUGCUUUCCAAUCUUUGGGAAUCUCAGACGACACGAAAGCUGGAAACGGCUGAUUUUUAAUGGAAUAUCUACAUACAGAGGCCCAUUAUCAGCAACCAUCACUCAUGUGUUCGAUUACAGGCUCAAAAUGGCCAGAAACAAAUCACUUUCUUCUGAAACUCGUCGGUCUAUUCUUGUUCUGAGAAAUGAAGGCUACUCCAUACGAGAAAUUGGCAAGAAACUGAAGAUCUCGUACAAUGCUGUGUACUACUCUCUUCACAGGACAGUGCAAACUGGCUCUAACCAGAAUAGAAAGAGGAGUGGGAGUGUCUAGUUUGAGAAACACUUAACAAGUCCUCAACUGGCAGCUUUAUUAAAUAGUACCCGCAAAACACCAGUCUCAAUAGUGAAGAGGCGACCCCGGAAUGCUGACCUUCUGGGCAGAGUUCCUCUGUCCAGUGUCUGUUCUUUUGCCCAUCUUAAUCUUUUCUUUUUAUUGGCCAGUCUGGGAUAUGGCUUUUUCUUUGCAACUCUUCCAUGAAGGCCAGCAUCCUUCAUUAAAGCAUAAUUAUAUUUUGUCUGUAAGCAGUUUUAUUGCUUCUAUAAUCAGAACAACAGUUUUCAGCUGUGCAAACAUAAUUGCAAAAGGGUUUUCUAAUGAUCAAUUAGCCUGCUAAACUUGGAUUAGCUAACACAACGUGCCAUUGGAACACAGGAGUGAUGGCUGCUGAUAAUGGGCCUCUGUACUCCUAUAUUCCAUAAAAAAAUCUGCCGUUUUCAGCUACAAUAGUCAUUUACAACAGUAACAAUGUCUACACUGUGUUUCUGAUCAAUUUGAUGUUAUUUUAAUGGACAAAAUUUUUAUUUUCUUUCAAAAACAAGGAGAUUUCUAAGUGACCCCAAAUUUUGGAACG